Molecule: long non-coding RNA, 1379 nt
Filed under: Sus scrofa (pig)
Lineage: Eukaryota; Metazoa; Chordata; Mammalia; Artiodactyla; Suidae
Description: lncRNA (ENSSSCG00040027417.1)
Source: RNAcentral
UGUUUGUUAAAUGACAUCUAGCUUUGUCCAAUGAAUCAGCUAGUCUCUCUGAGAGUGGUUCUGGAAUGGGGCCUAGAGUUAGUUUUUUUUUUUUUAAAGGGACAACAUUUAUUCCUUUUCCAAAUGUUACAAUAAAACCAGGUGGAAGAGAAUGGUUUUAGCAGUUAGAAAAGAAAAAAAAAAAAGUACAAAUCUGGGGUUUGGCCAUUAAAAGUUAUUUACAACAAUGGGAGGGGGAAAAAAAAAAAGACAACAAGAAGUUGUUUCACAUUACAGACCUCCCCCCACCCCAAAGCUUAAUACUUGCUUACCAAGUCAAAAAAGAGACAGUUGAUUCACAAGCUGGAGGUUCGAACUUGAGUAAGACAUUUAUAAAAACCUAGACAGGGGCUCUGUCCUCCCCAGCCCAGGUGCCACUAGGCACAGCACGAGAGACUAGAAACUCAACAGGGGAAGGCUGGACACUCAGGAUUUGGGAGUGUAGGCACCCCCAGAUCUGGCUCAGGGAUUUGGGGAAUAAACAAAACCUACUUGGAAAAGAAUUGGGGGAGAAAACCAGCAACUGCCUUCUGCAUGGGUGGGGGGCAACAGCCCCUUCCUUUCUGGGCACAGGAAGGCAGCCAGGGCACCAGGUCCAGGCAGUGACCUCACAAGGACAGCACAGUUUUUGCAGCUUAGAGGUCACCCACCUGCCCCCACCCAGCUACUCAUUCUGCUCGCUGGCUGGUGUAGGGCCACUCUCCGGCCCCAAGGGAGUGGAUGGCUCUGUGGCCUGGGGCCCUGCCUCUUCUUCUGUGUCUCCGCCCUUGGAGGCAGCACCAGCCUCUGCCCCUUUGGCCUGGGGCUCCUGGCUCUCACGGGUGGCAACAGCCUUCCCUUCCUGGGCAGUGCCUUCCUCGCUGCAGGCACCGAUCUCCCCCUGCUCUUGCUCUUCCUCUGUGGGCGAGGAGGCAGACGAAUCGCCCCCACCCUCCUUCCGAUUUCUCUUGAANCCUGUCCGUUAACCUUAGCGGGGGAAGCGCCUGCUGCCUCCUCGGUGGUCACGUCGCCCCGGGGAGCCUUGGAGCUCUGGCUGCCCAUGGUGGGGGUUCUGCUGGGGGGCGCCCGGAGCCACCCCGGGCUCGCGCCGCAGGGGAUAGUUCGGUCGGGUGGGCCUGGCCGGCGGAGGGGUGGGGCUCACGCCUGAGGGGGAGGGGUGUCGGGGGGAAACCGACUGCACCCCCGCUCCGUGCCCGACCCGCUGGCUGCGCCCGCCGCCUCUCUGCUCCGCGCCAGAAUGCCCUAGAGUUAGUUUUUUUAAAAAGUGACCAGGUGACUCUAUUGUGCAGUCAAGUUGAGAACCAUACUGCUGUGACUAACACUGCAAACCUCAGCCAGAG